This 261-nucleotide ribosomal RNA is filed under the name uncultured bacterium. RNAcentral describes it as "partial 16S ribosomal RNA". It matches the Rfam family "Bacterial small subunit ribosomal RNA", at positions 793 to 1055 of the family's 1533-position model. The record is from RNAcentral.
GUCCACGCCGUAAACGAUGUCAACUAGCCGUUGGAAUCCUUGAGAUUUUAGUGGCGCAGCUAACGCAUUAAGUUGACCGCCUGGGGAGUACGGCCGCAAGGUUAAACUCAAAUGAAUUGACGGGGCCCGCACAAGCGGUGGAGCAUGUGGUUUAAUUCGAAGCAACGCGAAGAACCUUACCAGGCCUUGACAUCCAAUGAACUUUCCAGAGAUGGAUUGGUGCCUUCGGGAACAUUGAGACAGGUGCUGCAUGGCUGUCGU